UACGGAGGGUGCAAGCGUUAAUCGGAAUUACUGGGCAUAAAGCGUGCGUAGGCGGUUCGUUAAGUCUGCUGUGAAAGCCCCGGGCUCAACCUGGGAAUGGCAGUGGAUACUGGCGAGCUAGAGUGUGAUAGAGGAUGGUGGAAUUCCCGGUGUAGCGGUGAAAUGCGUAGAGAUCGGGAGGAACAUCAGUGGCGAAGGCGGCCAUCUGGAUCAACACUGACGCUGAGGCACGAAAGCGUGGGGAGCAAACAGG
This 253-nucleotide ribosomal RNA is filed under the name uncultured bacterium. RNAcentral's name for it is "partial 16S ribosomal RNA". It matches the Rfam family "Bacterial small subunit ribosomal RNA", at positions 524 to 776 of the family's 1533-position model. The record is from RNAcentral.